Molecule: non-coding RNA, 125 nt
Organism: Hordeum vulgare subsp. vulgare (domesticated barley)
Lineage: Eukaryota; Viridiplantae; Streptophyta; Magnoliopsida; Poales; Poaceae
Source: Rfam
AAACUACUCCGUCCGUCCGGAAUUACUUGUCGCACAAAUAUAUAAAAAUGAAUGUAUCUAGAACUAAAAUAUAUCUAGAUACAUACAUUCCUAUGCCAAGUAUUUUCGGAUGGAGGGAGUACUAU